Taeniopygia guttata (zebra finch) is the source of this 5148-nucleotide non-coding RNA. The record is from RefSeq and is a predicted model, not a curated record. NCBI's taxonomy places the organism in Eukaryota, Metazoa, Chordata, Aves, Passeriformes, Estrildidae.
AUUUCCAGAAACAGAAGACCUUACCAGGAAGCGAUAGUCCAAGUUAAAUGACAUCAUGUGAGGCAAUAGGCAUAACAAAAUGAACAUAGAUGGUUUGCUAAUAAAAUAUAAUAUAAAAUAUAUCAUAUGUACAAUAUUUAAAAGAAACAGUAUAGAAGCCCAAAAAUAAGGGUCCAAUGUGCAUGACAUACCACAAAUGUGUAAAUAUUUUUAUAAAUUACUGAUCUAUCUAAAUACUAUAGUUUUGAGAGCAGGCAGAAUUAGUACUCUUCCAGAAAAAUUCAAUGGUGUAACUAUAGUCUGACAGCUAGAAUUAAUCUCAAGUCAAUAACGAUAGUGCUUUCCUAUCAUAAUUUUAAGCAGUCUGAGUCUUUUGUUACCACAUUUCUGAGGUAAUGUAUAAUUAAUUAUUAGAUUUUUAUAUUCCCUAGUCGAUAAUUUAUAUAUUCCAUAUUAAAAAUAAUACAAAAUAGUACAUUUUUCAUUCAAGCCUUGAGGUUAACCAGCACAUGGCUUUGAGAAACAAAGCUCUUAUAUUUUUGAAAUUGUCAACAUCUGUCAAAGUACUAAUAAAUCUUAACAGUUUACUGAUGUCUCCCAUAAAAAGAAAAGAAUGCAGUGUAUUCUAAAAAAGAUGCUUCAAGUGCUGUUUGAAAUUCAGUCUAGUUUAGAAUAAGUGAUUUCAAUGGUUUUUCAAAUAUAAAGUAUAGCUGCUCAGAAGAACUCCAAGACAACACUGCUUCAUCCUCAACACUUGCAGUGUGCCUGAAGCCCCUCUGAUGUGUGACUUCCUUCUGUGGAGCAUGUCCCAGUGCACAUAAAAUGAGGCCACUGAGCCAUCAUCUAUACAUUCUCCAACUGAGCAUUUUUCCUGUCCCUUCUGGACGGGCCAGCCAGUAUAAGUUCUCAAAGCACACAUACUGGGUGAAGCCAAAAAGGAAAUCUGUGAGGUGUUAGUGGAAAUUGUAUCUUUUUAGACUGUUAGGAAAUGGCACUAGAAAGGCACUACCUUUAAGACCAGGUUGGGUGGAGCUUUGAGCAGCAUGGUGUAGUGGAAGGUGUCUGCCCAUGGCAUGGCAGGGAGAUCAGAGUUAGAUGAUUUUUAAUGUCCUUUCCAACCCAAACCAUUCUAUGUUCUAGGAAAUCUAGAUUUCUUGGAAAUCUACUUCUACCUGCUCUGGACAGUGAUGUCUAAUGGCAUUUACUGUCUCCCAGGAAAGUGUCCCUGGCUACAGGGCUGCUCAAUAUUAUGUGAGAGGCUCUCUUGGUGUCUCCUUUAGUGCUUUUUUUCAUUACAAAUGGAUAAUUAAGCAGUCACAGACUAGGCAUCUGACUGGCUCUGCUUGUUGGAGGUUUAUGACAAUCUCAUGUGGCUCAAACGCCUCAUCUCAAAGAUGAUUAUUUAUAUAAAACUGAGUUAUUUCAACCCAUAGGACUAAGAGAAAACUCAUGGAGAAUAUCUGAUAUUCUGGUAGUUCAUAUCCAUAAUACAUACUGGAGUUGUGAGAGACUCGAGUCUCUCAGUCUGCUCAGCAGUCCAGUAGAAAAGAAAUUUUGAAGCAAGCCUUUUGCCCUGUAGCUACAUGCAUUAUGCACUGAAGUAUUACAGAGGAUCAGCUCUUUCUAGUGUCUCUUCAGCAGAGGACUGACCUGACUUUACUGUCUGAAGUCAAAGAGCCAUAGCUGGAUAUCAAGGGCAGAGAUAAGCCCCUUGCUAUUUUUGGAGAGCAGAACCAAAAAACACUGCCCUUUGUGAACCACCCUCUAACACAUUUCACUGUCCUGUAGAACAAUUGCUCUCAGCCUGCCCUUAGCCUCAAGGUUGCUAUCUCUAUUCCAUUUGCACAUACAAAAGUAUUUUUCCCCAAGACUUAUCAAUCCAAUGGGCUUUAUGUGUCUUUUCAAAUAUUUCUCAAAGUCCCCAGGAGUUAAAAAGAGCCUAACUUGAAGCUGAGGAUUGUACAAGGCAAAAAGACACCUUCCUAGAAUUAAGUGUUGCAGUGCUGAGGUUUUCAAUUCUCACUCCCUUGUGGUUGCCCAUCUUGUUUUCACUGCUCAAAUUUAACACCAAUAAACACAACAGAUGUACUCUUUUGGGCGUUCUUCUAUUUCAUAUUCAAAGUACAAGACUUCUUAACUCUAUUCUCUCUCCAUCACUGCUUUCCUGCCCCCCCAUGGACAGCCCACCUGCAGCCUCCCAUUUCUUUCACCUCCAGAAAAGCAGAAGCGGUUUUUGCCUGUUCUCCAGACCCCUGCUUUUCCUAUGAAACAAGAACUGAGAUGCUUUGAAAAUUUUAUUUCAGCUCUCCUGCUGUGCAGUCAGGUAACACAGAACAAAAGGAAGGUUUUGUCUUUGUGGUUUGAUUUCUAAAAAGGAAUAUGAAUUCUUCACCAUAAGGCAAUAAUUUUUCAAAGAAGGAGAAUCCAAAUAAAGUUAUUUUAGAAGGAUAAUACUGACACUAUAGAGGGACUGUAGUCAGGUAACACAGAACAAAAGGAAGGUUUUGUCUUUGUGGUUUGAUUUCUAAAAAGGAAUAUGAAUUCUUCACCAUAAGGCAAUAAUUUUUCAAAGAAGGAGAAUCCAAAUAAAGUUAUUUUAGAAGGAUAAUACUGACACUAUAGAGGGACUGUAGCUUAGUUUCCUUCUAGUUAUAUCAGCUACCUGGCACCUUAGAAGGAGAAAAUGCUGGUGUGCUACUCCACUUUUAAUAUUUGUAAGCAUAAAAAUGCUUUUAAAGGAAAUACUUAAAUUUAUUGAGAAAUUUCAGAUCUCAAGACUGUUAGUUGUACCAGUUCAAAUCAACUCUUAAAUCUUAUAAUAUUGCACUACAACAGCUAUUUAUCACAUCUCCCAGUAACUUGAGGAUUUAGGGAUAAUCUGACUCUGUUAUGGUGAAUUAUAAUAUUACUGAAAUGUUGCAAAAACACAGAAAUUGGAACUUUACUGAAGUUGCAAAUUGCUGUCCCAGAGGGGAGAUCUAUUUUGCAUCCAUCUGUGCAGCUCAAAUUCAGUAUCACAGGAACAUAUACAUGAUUUCUCUAAGAGUUUUACCUUUUCAGCAUGGACACACUGGGAUUUUUCUCAAAAAUAUCCUCAAGAUAUAUGUUUGUAUUUUUUUUAUUAUCAGUGUCAAGAUAUAAUCUAAGUAUCUUUCUACAUUUCUAAGGCAUAGAUGUCCAUAGAGCAAAAUGUUAGGACAAGGCCAUGCCUUGGGAAGCCCUAUUUCAACAGUGAUUAGACAGAGUUCAGGUAAUUAUCUUAGAUUUAGACAUCACUGACACUUAAAAUUAGUGAAUCACCCUUUUUGUGUAUAUACUUGAAUUUUUCUAUGUGCCUGUGAGGCUACUGUGUUAUAUUCAGAGAAAGUAAAAUACAAAUUCAGAUGAUUACCAAGAAUCACAAAGAAAGUCAGUAUCAAAGCAGAUUAACCUGUAUAAAUUAAUAGACACAGGCUUUAAUUUCGCAUUAGGUUUUGCCACAAUCAUCCUAAUCCCAGAAUUUGUCCUGUUUAAUCUCAAACAAUAGGAGAAACUUUUCUUUUUAUUCUACAACACACUCUUUAUUGCUUACAUGCCAUCAUCCUUCUCCUCAUGCAUUCAAAGCAAUCUCAUGCCAGUAUGAAACUGCAUUUCAGAGGUAAUAUAGUCCUGAUAUAUAUUUUUCCGAUUUGUGCUUUACAUGUAGAAUUGAUAACUAUUAUGGCAACUUCUCAGCCAUGAAACAAGAGCAGAUACUGCAUAAGAAAUAAAUUCUUAGACACAGAAAAUAAAAAGUAGGAAAAUUAAGUUAUUCUUGCUAUUAAAUAUACCAAAUAAUAGAUAUGGUAGGCAUCAUCUUGACAAACACACCUAGCUGAAGUGUUUAACGUAUGAAGUAUCUGCUGCUUAUUUAGGAAUCUGACACUGAGAUGAGUAACACAAUCACAUUACGUGGUGAACAUGUGAAAUAUCAGCAGUAAUUACUUAGGACUAAAAAGAGUUUUUCUACUUGCCUGUGUAUACUGAUGAUCUACCAUGCUAUGAUCUGCAUUUUGUUUAUACAAGGGUUAAAGGUUCUCAAAUUGUUUAAUAUUUUGUCAGAAAACUAUGAAAAAACUGCAAAUGUUCAACAAAACCAAAGGAGGAAGCCAAUCCCUACAAUCUUCCAAGCUGCAGAGGGAGAUAUCUUCUCAAAAUAACUAGGAAGAAAUUCUUACUCAUGUGAGAUGCCUAAUUCUCAGAUGUUUUGAGACUGCUUUGUGGAUAUCUAGCUAAAUGUAGCCUCGGAGAGUUUUUCUUCUUUCCAGUAAAGGAGCAUAAAUUCAUAUUUCAUGGUUGAAUUUUGCACAAAGUAUUUUCCAAAUCUUUUUUAAUAUUUUUUCACCAUUUGAAGAGCAGAAUGGAGAACCUGAAACAGCCUCUCUAACCACUCUGCUUGGCACUGUUUAACAGGAGACCAGGAACACCAGAAAGCAGGAAAAAGCCGCAUCAUGUUCUCUCUUUGCUAAGUUUUGAAAGCAAAAGUAAGCCAAAGGGAGGUGGAAAACUGGGGAAAAUUCUCCAGGCUCCACAGGGGAUUUCAUUUAAACACUAUGCUGAGAUACUUGCAACUCUGCAGCUAAGACCAAAAAAAAACCACAGGCCCACCUGUGUGACUACCACAUGUAGCCUUUGCAAUUCAUGAUGAAAAGCAAUGCUUCACAACUUUUAUAUUUUAUUAUUUAAAGCACAUUGUCACAUGGCAUGUCAUAUCCAUCAUUUUGCACUCACUCUCAGACUGAAAAAGAGAACGGAAAAUUUGAAACACUGUCUGUGAAUACUUUAAUAUUCUUUCAAAGAACGCAGGUUUUGUUUGAAUCAAUCUCAAAUUAUUCUACCAGUUAUUCCAUGGGGAAAAUAUAUACAUCUUCUUCCAAGAAAUUAUGUGAAAUUAUCUGCAUAGAAGGUGGAGAAAGUCAUUACAAGGUUUUGGACAGAUGUUUUACUAGUUUAUAUGUCCCAUACAAACUACAUCUAAAUGUUGAUUUGGGAAAACAACAUCUGCCCAGAACAAGCUGACAUUUUUUCCUCUUUUUUCCAUUUUAACCAAGCACUGCCUGAGCAAUCAUUCGUUAGGAGUAAUAACAUUUAAUAUAGUACUUCUUUUCCCCUACAGAGUCCCAAAGCAAA